RNAcentral lists this long non-coding RNA (211 nucleotides) under Rosa chinensis. RNAcentral's name for it is "sRNA RchiOBHm_Chr5g0067461". Lineage: Eukaryota; Viridiplantae; Streptophyta; Magnoliopsida; Rosales; Rosaceae. The record is from RNAcentral.
GGAGAUUGCUUUUGGUUCAGUCUGGACCUGAUUUUGAUGUUUUUGAUUUAUUGUUGAACUUGUUUGGGGAGCUUGUUUGUAUUGGUUGUGGUAAAAUUGAUUUUUGGCGUUUAUGAUUGUCGAUUCGGUUUGCUGUGUAGAGGAGUUGAAGCAAGUUCUUGUCUUGAUUGAAAAGAGAAGAGGUUCUUGGCUGCAUUGGUCAGUUGCAUGA